GGGCGAUUAGCUCAAUUGGCUAGAGCGCGUCCCUUACAAGGACGAGGUUGCUGGUUCGAGCCCGGCAUCGCCCA
This 74-nucleotide transfer RNA is filed under the name Phycisphaerae bacterium. RNAcentral's name for it is "tRNA-Val". It matches the Rfam family "tRNA". From Rfam's summary of the family: Transfer RNA (tRNA) molecules are approximately 80 nucleotides in length. Their secondary structure includes four short double-helical elements and three loops (D, anti-codon, and T loops). RNAcentral also lists the same sequence under 1 other name. Lineage: Bacteria; Pseudomonadati; Planctomycetota; Phycisphaerae. The record is from RNAcentral.